AUGCAGGAGAAGCUCAUGGCAAGGCAUGGCACCGUGGUUGACAGCUUUGAGAAGAAGCAUCGUAGAUAUUUGUUGGAGGCCAUGACUCCAAUGUCAAGUGUUCGCUCCAAAUGGGGAAGUCGUCCAUGUCAAGAUCCCUGUUGGGAAGAGAUGUGGCUAAAUUACUCCUGUCACUGCAUAUUCAGGCCUUCUGCUGAGCAAGCUCUGCAACUGCUGCAUGGGACCUUUUUUGGUGGUCAGAGUGUGAGCCUUUCAUGGGGAAGAAGCCCUUUGAACAAACAAACUCAGGUUAAUUCUUGCGUACAGAACUUCUAUCAUGUCUUGAGUUGUAUAUAUACUAGCGGUAAAGUGGGUAAUAUAUGA
Molecule: ribosomal RNA, 363 nt
Filed under: Triticum aestivum (bread wheat)
Lineage: Eukaryota; Viridiplantae; Streptophyta; Magnoliopsida; Poales; Poaceae
Description: partial small subunit ribosomal RNA
Source: RNAcentral